GACGGAGGGUGCAAGCGUUGCUCGGAAUCACUGGGCGUAAAGGGUGCGUAGGCGGCCUCUUAAGUCUGACGUGAAAGCCCAGGGCUUAGCCCUGGAAGGGCGUUAGAAACUGGGAGGCUCGAGUGCCGGAGGGGAGAGUGGAAUUCCCGGUGUAGCGGUGAAAUGCGUAGAUAUCGGGAAGAAUACCGGUGGCGAAAGCGACUCUCUGGACGGUUACUGACGCUAAGGCACGAAAGCGUGGGGAGCAAACAGG
RNAcentral lists this ribosomal RNA (253 nucleotides) under uncultured bacterium. RNAcentral describes it as "partial 16S ribosomal RNA". It matches the Rfam family "Bacterial small subunit ribosomal RNA", at positions 524 to 776 of the family's 1533-position model. The record is from RNAcentral.